UACGUAGGGUGCAAGCGUUAAUCGGAAUUACUGGGCGUAAAGCGCGCGUAGGCGGCUUUUCAAGCCGAUUGUGAAAUCCCCGGGCUUAACCUGGGAACUGCAGUCGGGACUGUCUAGCUAGAGUAUGGGAGAGGGAAGUGGAAUUUCAGGUGUAGCGGUGAAAUGCGUAGAUAUCUGAAGGAACAUCAGUGGCGAAAGCGACUUCCUGGACCAAUACUGACGCUCAUGUGCGAAAGCGUGGGGAGCAAACAGG
This 253-nucleotide ribosomal RNA is filed under the name uncultured bacterium. RNAcentral describes it as "partial 16S ribosomal RNA". It matches the Rfam family "Bacterial small subunit ribosomal RNA", at positions 524 to 776 of the family's 1533-position model. The record is from RNAcentral.